GUGGGGAAUAUUGCACAAUGGGCGCAAGCCUGAUGCAGCAACGCCGCGUGAGGGAUGACGGCCUUCGGGUUGUAAACCUCUUUUAGUAGGGAAGAAGCGAAAGUGACGGUACCUGCAGAAAAAGCACCGGCUAACUACGUGCCAGCAGCCGCGGUAAUACGUAGGGUGCAAGCGUUGUCCGGAAUUAUUGGGCGUAAAGAGCUCGUAGGCGGCUUGUCGCGUCUGCUGUGAAAACCCGAGGCUCAACCUCGGGCCUGCAGUGGGUACGGGCAGGCUAGAGUGCGGUAGGGGAGAUUGGAAUUCCUGGUGUAGCGGUGGAAUGCGCAGAUAUCAGGAGGAACACCGAUGGCGAAGGCAGAUCUCUGGGCCGUAACUGACGCUGAGGAGCGAAAGCAUGGGGAGCGAACAGGAUUAGAUACCCCAGUAGUCC
Molecule: ribosomal RNA, 430 nt
Filed under: uncultured bacterium
Lineage: Bacteria
Description: partial 16S ribosomal RNA
Rfam family: Bacterial small subunit ribosomal RNA
Source: RNAcentral